UACGGAGGGAGCUAGCGUUGUUCGGAAUUACUGGGUGUAAAGCGCACGUAGGCGGCUUUGUAAGUUAGAGGUGAAAGCCCGGGGCUCAACUCCGGAACUGCCUUUAAGACUGCAUCGCUUGAACAUCGGAGAGGUAAGUGGAAUUCCGAGUGUAGAGGUGAAAUUCGUAGAUAUUCGGAAGAACACCAGUGGCGAAGGCGACUUACUGGACGAUUGUUGACGCUGAGGUGCGAAAGCGUGGGGAGCAAAACAGG
Molecule: ribosomal RNA, 254 nt
Filed under: uncultured bacterium
Lineage: Bacteria
Description: partial 16S ribosomal RNA
Rfam family: Bacterial small subunit ribosomal RNA
Source: RNAcentral